This 383-nucleotide RNase P RNA is filed under the name Klebsiella pneumoniae. RNAcentral describes it as "RNase P RNA component class A". It matches the Rfam family "Bacterial RNase P class A". Rfam says of the family: Ribonuclease P (RNase P) is a ubiquitous endoribonuclease, found in archaea, bacteria and eukarya as well as chloroplasts and mitochondria. Its best characterised activity is the generation of mature 5'-ends of tRNAs by cleaving the 5'-leader elements of precursor-tRNAs. Cellular RNase Ps are ribonucleoproteins. The record is from RNAcentral. Lineage: Bacteria; Pseudomonadati; Pseudomonadota; Gammaproteobacteria; Enterobacterales; Enterobacteriaceae.
GAAGCUGACCAGACAGUCGCCGCUUCGUCGUCGUCCUCCUUCGGGGGGAGACGGGCGGAGGGGAGGAAAGUCCGGGCUCCAUAGGGCAAGGUGCCAGGUAACGCCUGGGGGGUGUCACAGCCCACGACCAGUGCAACAGAGAGCAAACCGCCGAUGGCCCGCGCAAGCGGGAUCAGGUAAGGGUGAAAGGGUGCGGUAAGAGCGCACCGCGCGGCUGGUAACAGUCCGCGGCACGGUAAACUCCACCCGGAGCAAGGCCAUAUAGGGGUUCAUAAGGUACGGCCCGUACUGAACCCGGGUAGGCUGCUUGAGCCAGUGAGCGAUUGCUGGCCUAGAUGAAUGACUGUCCACGACAGAACCCGGCUUAUCGGUCAGUUUCACCU